UACCAGCUCUCCGAGUGGUGUGGAUGUUUAUUGGGCCUAAAGCAUCCGUAGCUGGCUGGGCAAGUCCCCUGUUAAAUCCACCGAUUUAAUCGUUGGUGUGCGGGGGAUACUGUUCGGCUAGGGGACGGGAGAGGCCGACGGUAUUUUCGGGGUAGGGGUGAAAUCCUAUAAUCCCGGGAAGACCACCAGUGGCGAAGGCUGUCGGCUAGAACGCGCCCGACGGUGAGGGAUGAAAGCUGGGGGAGCGAGCCGGAUUAGAUACCCGGGUAGUCCCAGCUGUAAACGAUGCAGGCUAGGUGUUUGGGCGGCCACGUGCCGCUCUAGUGCCGCAGAGAAGUCGUUAAGCCUGCCGCCUGGGGAGUACGGCCGCAAGGCUGAAACUUAAAGGAAUUGGCGGGGAGCACCACAAGGGGUGAAGCUUGCGGUUU
RNAcentral lists this ribosomal RNA (428 nucleotides) under uncultured archaeon. Its description in RNAcentral is "bacterial SSU rRNA". It matches the Rfam family "Archaeal small subunit ribosomal RNA", at positions 474 to 903 of the family's 1478-position model. The record is from RNAcentral.